RNAcentral lists this unclassified non-coding RNA (287 nucleotides) under Hevea brasiliensis (rubber tree). The record is from RNAcentral. Lineage: Eukaryota; Viridiplantae; Streptophyta; Magnoliopsida; Malpighiales; Euphorbiaceae.
AGCUUUCUUCCUUCUCUUUUGGCCUUCUUCUCCUUCAUCCAUCAACAUGCUCACAGCCAUUUCUACUUCCUCUUUCUUCACUAAAACUCCAACUUUCUCUUCCUCACCCCAUCUUACAGGAACCUCAACGCCAACUCUGACACCAAUCCUUAAAAUCUCCACAAUUAGCUUCUCAUUAAAGAAUUGCUCAGAGAAUAAAGGCCAAGUUAGCAUUGGCACUCCAGAGCAGACACCUUCUAUUGUUGAGUUCCAACCACAAUGGGUUAAGAAUCCUCCAAUUGCUGGAU